This 331-nucleotide ribosomal RNA is filed under the name uncultured bacterium. Its description in RNAcentral is "bacterial SSU rRNA". It matches the Rfam family "Bacterial small subunit ribosomal RNA", at positions 179 to 507 of the family's 1533-position model. The record is from RNAcentral.
UAUUGAGUUUGCAUGAAAUCAAUAUGAAAGCUCCGGCGAUGAGAGAUGGGGAUGCGUUUCAUUAGGUAGUAGGCGGGGUAACGGCCCACCUAGCCGACGAUGAAUAGGGGUUCUGAGAGGAAGGUCCCCCACACUGGAACUGAGACACGGUCCAGACUCCUACGGGAGGCAGCAGUGAGGAAUAUUGGUCAAUGGGCGCAAGCCUGAACCAGCCAAGUAGCGUGAAGGGAUGACUGCCCUAUGGGUUGUAAACUUCUUUUAUAUGAGAACAAAUGUAUUUACGUGUAAAUAUUUGCGUGUACCAUAUGAAUAAGCAUCGGCUAACUCCGUG